GAUGAAGAACGCAGUGAAAUGCGAUAAGUAGUGUGAAUUGCAGAAUUCGGUGAAUCAUCGAAUCUUUGAACGCACAUUGCGCCCCUUGGUAUUCCAUGGGGCAUGCCUGUUCGAGCGUCAUUUGUACCUUCAAGCUCUGCUUGGUGUUGGGUGUUUGUCUCGCCUCUGCGUGUAGACUCGCCUCAAAACAAUUGGCAGCCGGCGUAUUGAUUUCGGAGCGCAGUACAUCUCGCGCUUUGCACUCAUAACGACGACGUCCAAAAGUACAUUUUUACACUCUUGACCUCGGAUCAGGUAGGGAUACCCGCUGAACUUAAGCAUAUCAAUAAGCGGAGGA
RNAcentral lists this unclassified non-coding RNA (337 nucleotides) under soil metagenome. RNAcentral describes it as "partial contains 5.8S ribosomal RNA, internal transcribed spacer 2, and large subunit ribosomal RNA". The stretch from base 1 to 120 matches the Rfam family "5.8S ribosomal RNA", at positions 35 to 154 of the family's 154-position model. The record is from RNAcentral.